This 363-nucleotide unclassified non-coding RNA is filed under the name uncultured bacterium. RNAcentral describes it as "contains 16S-23S intergenic spacer region". The record is from RNAcentral.
UCCCUGUUGCCAGGGCAGUCUAGCUAGAAAAAUUCAACUAACUAUAAGGGUUGCGCUCGUUGAUGGACUUAACCAAACAUCUCACGACACGAGCUGAAGACGGCCAUGCAACACCUGUCACUUGGUUCCCGAAGGCACACUCUGCUUUCGCAGAACUUCCAAGGAAGUCAAGUCUGGGUAAGGUUCUUCGCUUAUCCUCGAAUUAAACAACACGCUCCACCGCUUGUGCGGGUCCCCGUCAAUUCCUUUAUGUUUUAGUCUUGCGACCGUACUCCACAGGCGGGAUGCUUAACGCGUUAGCUUCGCUACUAGAAGGGUCGAUACUUCUAACAGCUAGCAUCCAUAGUUUACGGCGUGGACUAC